This 1033-nucleotide long non-coding RNA is filed under the name Sus scrofa (pig). RNAcentral describes it as "lncRNA (ENSSSCG00005009473.1)". Lineage: Eukaryota; Metazoa; Chordata; Mammalia; Artiodactyla; Suidae. The record is from RNAcentral.
CAGACCACCAGGUAAAAAGCCCCAGGUCAGCAAGCCAGCAGCCAGUAUGAGUAUAGAGAGAGAAUGGCUCUUAAAGUCUCUCAUUUCAAAGAGCUUUUGUAGCUUAUUCUUGCUGAGCAAAAAGCACAUUUUGAGUAGUCCAAUUUAUUGAGAUACCACAAGGCUGAUACAGUUGAAAAUCAGCCUAAUAUGAAAAAAAUAAAUGGACUUUCCAUGCUAAGAAAAACAAAGCUAGUGACAUUUCCUCAGAGCCAAAUAUUUCAUCAGCCUCUGUCUUAGUUCUAGGUCAUGUGUCAACAAGAGGUUUGUUUAUUUUUUAAACCAUGUGUCACAUGACCCAAUGGCAUCAUCUAUAAUAAUUUUCUGGAGUGUACCAGACAACCAGGACCCUCUCUGGAACACAAAUACUGAGGCCAAGUCAAAUCAGCAGCUGUCUGUGUUUCUGAAUGAGCUUUUGUAAUUUAAAUGUCUCAUUCCAUUGGGAACUAAGGGAGGUGACAUAACCCAGAAGAAGCUCGGAAGUGAGAGUGUUUGUGGGGGUGGCUGAACUCUGUGACCUUUUUGGUCUGCCCUCCAAUUCUGUCUCUGGGAGUCAAUGAAUGUACUUCAGUUUUUGGCGCUCAGGACAAGCUUCUUGGGAGGUUUAUUUGAAAGAAAGAGAAAAGUGAAGCUUCAAGUAGGUCAAAUUGAAAUGAUGUCUCAAGUGCUCUGAAGCUGUCUUUGACCAUGAGGAGAGAAGAAAAAAACAAAACCACUACCUCUACUGAUGUCAAAGACAGAGCUACAAAAUGUGCUCAUUACGGGCCUAUCUGCCAGCAACAAAAGGGAGGAGACUCCUAUUUCAGCAGUUAGAAGAUGGGAAACAUUCAACCAGCCACCUAUUCUGGAAGAUACUAUUGGAAAGGGCACUUGACAAUGUUCUUCCUGGAUUCUCAGGUAGGUAUAAAAUAAUACCAAAUAAUUGUGAGAUAACUCGCAUGUCCUUGAACCCUGAUCUGCCCCCCCCACACACAAAGGAGUGUAUUUGUAAUGG